This is a long non-coding RNA of Orcinus orca (killer whale), 839 nucleotides long. RefSeq lists it as uncharacterized. The record is from RefSeq and is a predicted model, not a curated record. The transcript is spliced from 3 exons. NCBI's taxonomy places the organism in Eukaryota, Metazoa, Chordata, Mammalia, Artiodactyla, Delphinidae.
AGAGGCAGUCCUCCUUCUUAGCCUCAUGGCCCCGGCAUCGCCUCUCUCUGACCUGCUCACAAGGAAGCGACAUCCUAUUGGAAGCAGACGGGUAAGCCAAGAAGUGCAGUCCUAUAUGGUAACGCUUGUGCGUUGUAAGAGUGGCCUUUACCAAGGGAAUUUGAAGGCUUUAUGAAAGAAUGCUGCAGCUUGAAGUGCCGCUGAAAUGCAAGUUACCGCUGACCUUCCCGAUGACAUUAGGGACAGCUGGGCUGCACGGCUUCUCUGCAGCCUUCCCUCACCAGAGCUCAUCCUGGAUGCUCUGACUGGAUGUUGCCAGUGUUUAAAAUCAGAGUUUGAGGUGAGUGGAUGUAGUAGGGGAAACGCUUGGGUUUUGAUUACACUUAGGAUUACUGGAUAUUAAGCUUGGAGAAAUAAAGAAAUUCAAGAGCAUUAAUGUAUGCUUGGUCCCAGAAAUGUUAGGAACCCAUGUCCCAAGUCUCCUCUCCCACCCUUACUUCCUCUGCCACGAAUGGAUCCUGGCCGAGCCGCAGGGAGCCUUCUGGGAUCCCUACUGCCAUGAAGCCCUUGCCGUUAGGACUUCUUUCUUAGCCACUCCUUUUCCACUGCUGGCAGGUGAGUCAAAUAAAGGGCCUGAUGGUUUAUCUCAGAGCCUAGCAGAGAGCCUUACCUGGCAAAAGCAGACUGGUUGGUGAGGAAGGUUGUGUGGCACAUACUGAGAUGCUCCUGUGGGUCAAAUUAUGUGAAAGCCUUUGCAAAUAGUUGUUCAUUCUCACUUGGCAAAUACAGUCUCUGAGAUCAGUUACUUUCUUCAAGGUGGCAAAGUGUUUCCCUCCCUA